GGUUGAUGACCUACGGUAACACACAUUUCGAGCUGUGUCAAUAUGGGAAACAACGCGCUGCGGGACCGCAUGCGAGGCCGGCGGAGCGCAUUUACGACCCUCUUCCUCUCCCCCACUAUGUGUCACCACUGCCGUAUGGGAAUGGUUGCGUCUAUUUACACUCUCAUUUUUCGCCGUUGUCUCUCCCAAUUUUCGCGCUCUCCGUCAAGGCUCAUAAGUGUUUUACAUAUUGAUUUUGACUUGUGAUCUGAACUGU
Molecule: non-coding RNA, 256 nt
Organism: Caenorhabditis elegans
Lineage: Eukaryota; Metazoa; Nematoda; Chromadorea; Rhabditida; Rhabditidae
Source: Ensembl